UGUCCCAUGUGGUCGACUCACCCAAAUUAAUUUCGUAUUAAUUAAAACAUUUGUUAAAUAAAGUAAUCAGGUUUUGGAAAUUAAAGAAAAUAUGUUUUCGCAUGGCUAAGUUGUAUAUGGUUUUUUUUUUUUUUUUUUUUUUUUAAUGAAGAGGUUCUGGGCUAAAGCCCAUAUAUGUCCGCAACCAAAACAUAUUAUAUGAUUUCGUCCCAAACGCUAUUCGAACCGGCGAUCUCUAAAGUUUUACCAGAGAUAUUUUGAUUUCUUUUAUCCAAUUAAUGUCCAAUUUUAGUGUUUUUCAACUUUCUAAUUUCUCACCUAAGAUAAAACAUUUUAUUAUGUAAAUUAUUAACGACAAAAAAAAGCCAAUUGGCAAUGAGUGGAUUGGCCCUAACCCUUUAUAUAUUACUUAAGUCCCCUCACAUCUUCCGAUAUGGGAUCUUUUCUCCACACGCCCCCUCGAGAUAAUGGCUCUUUUAGCCAUUAAUCUCGACAGAAUCCAUCACGCCCCCUCGAGAUAAUGCUCUUCUAGCUAUCUCGAUGGAAUUGGGCCUUCUUUUGGGCCAUCAAUUAAUGGGGUGAUCGGGCCUCUAUCCGGGCCGGAUUAAUUAAUGGGUCAGCGUGUGUUCGGGCUCUGAUACCAUGUUAAAUUAGGAUUUGUUAUGGGCUUCCAACUCAAAACCAAUUGGCAAUGAGUGGAUUGGCCCUAACCCUUUAUAUAUUACUUAAGUGCCCUCACAUCUUCCGAUGUGGGAUCUUUUCUCCACACAAACAAAUUAAACACACAACCAUAACGUUUGAUAUGAAAUAUGAGCAUAAAUGAAAAAAAAAAAAAAACAUGUACAUAAUAAACAUGUCCAAUACUGACUAUGACCUUUUAAUGGUUCCUACUUACUACAUAAACAUGUCUUAGACUGAUAAUGACCUUUUAAUCCACAAAAGCAUAGUCUGGUUCUUAGCUUUGUCCAGC
RNAcentral lists this long non-coding RNA (970 nucleotides) under Capsella rubella. RNAcentral describes it as "long non-coding RNA (CRUB_LNC002684)". Lineage: Eukaryota; Viridiplantae; Streptophyta; Magnoliopsida; Brassicales; Brassicaceae. The record is from RNAcentral.